AGAGGGGUAGAAUUGGAACUCUCCAAAACUGAGCGGAGAAACUUUAAAAAACUGAUCUCAUCACUUCCUCGUAACCGGAAAAUCUUAUUAAAACACCGUAACCGCCUCCCUCCUCCGCUUCUAUAGGUUUCCGUCGUAACAGAAUUUGAUUCCUCGACUCCGAAUCAAUUGAUAAUUUCGAUUUGAUCUCCCACAGAUCUAUCUAUUGGUGGAAGAAGAUGAUCCGAUUAAGAACCUACGCAUGCCUCAGCUUCAUCGCAACCCUCUCCAUAAUCCACCACGCCUUCUCCACCCGAGGCCAGUUCUACCCGGCCGCCGUCUACCUCUCCACCUCCAAGAUCAGCCUAAUGCUCCUCCUCAACAUGUGCCUCGUCCUCAUGCUCGCCCUCUGGCACCUCGUCAAGCUCCUCUUCCUCGGCUCCCUCCGCGAAGCCGAGAUCGAGCGGCUCAACGAGCAGGCAUGGAGAGAGCUCAUGGAGAUCCUCUUCGCCAUCACCAUCUUCCGCCAAGACUUCUCCAGUGGCUUCCUCCCCCUUGUCGUCACGCUUCUCCUCAUCAAGGCCUUGCACUGGCUCGCUCAGAAGCGAGUCGAGUUCAUCGAGACGGCUCCUAACGUCUCCAGGCUCGCUCACGUUCGUAUUGUUUCAUUUUUGGCGUUUCUUCUUGUUGUGGAUUCGAUCUUUAUGUAUAGCUCGGUUCGGCAUUUGGUUCGGUCUAGGCAGGCCUCCGUUUCUCUCUUCUUCUCUUUCGAGUAUAUGAUUUUGGCGACGACGACGGUGGCGAUUUUUGUGAAGUAUGUGUUCUUUGUUACUGAUAUGAUUAUGGAUGGUCAGUGGGAGAAGAAGCCUGUUUAUACUUUCUAUCUUGAGCUUAUCCGUGACCUGCUUCAUUUGUCAAUGUACAUUUGCUUCUUCUUUGUCAUCUUCAUGAACUAUGGUGUGCCUUUGCAUUUGUUGAGAGAGCUUUAUGAGACCUUCAGGAACUUCCAGAUUCGUGUUUCUGAUUACCUUCGUUAUCGUAAAAUCACUUCCAAUAUGAACGACAGGUUCCCUGAUGCAACUCCUGAAGAACUUACUGCAAGUGAUGCCACAUGUAUCAUAUGCCGUGAAGAAAUGACAACUGCGAAGAAGCUGAUAUGCGGGCAUCUCUUCCAUGUACAUUGUCUUCGAUCAUGGUUGGAACGACAGCAGACAUGUCCGACUUGCAGGGCACUUGUUGUACCUCCUGAGAAUGGCACAUCUACUACAGCUGCAGGGCAACGAGGAUUGCACCAAGGUUCUCAGCAAGGUACUUCAAGCUCAGGUGGCCAGGGAUCUGAAACGCGUUCUUCUGCUGGCGGUUCCAAUGAUAGUUUGAGCAGGCAUCACGCCAGACUUCAAGCAGCUGCUUCUGCAGCCUCCAUGUAUGGGAAGUCAAUGGUGUAUCCAUCUGCAGACAAAGUAGCAUGGUCGCCGGGUUUUCCUGGUACAGUGAAAGCCUCAGCAGAACCACAUGGAACCCAUCCUUCAUCAUCCUCAGCGGCUUCUCAGCUUCCUCAACAAAACCUUCCUGGUGAAAACUCUCGUGCCUAUGCAAAUAUCCCAGCGGACAAGCUGGAAACGAUGAAGAAAUCUCUGGAGAGCCAGCUCGAGCGUUAUGUUUGUAGACUUUGCGAAACAGACUUCAGUUUCUGGAGUCCACAGGAGAAGCAGAUGACAAAGGGAAGAGAGUUGUUGAUCGAUGCGACAGAGCAGCAGAGUGAAUAGCAAAUUAGAGGGAAACAAAACGCUGGGUCUAGAACUGAGGCAGAGAAGAUAUAGACAAAGAGAUGAUAAAAAGAUGGAAGACACUCCUUUACUUGAACUAGUCUUUUGUCCGCGGAUAAUGAAAGCUUACCAAACGAGUUAUAAGAAGAAGAAGAAGAAAAGAGAGAGAGACUACUAACACACACAUAUAGCAAACAUCGAGCUCUCU
RNA transcript from Raphanus sativus (radish), 1953 nucleotides. It is a transcript of the gene named ERAD-associated E3 ubiquitin-protein ligase HRD1A-like, with no coding region annotated. The transcript has 8 exons. The record is from RefSeq and is a predicted model, not a curated record. NCBI's taxonomy places the organism in Eukaryota, Viridiplantae, Streptophyta, Magnoliopsida, Brassicales, Brassicaceae.